Molecule: ribosomal RNA, 383 nt
Filed under: uncultured archaeon
Lineage: Archaea
Description: bacterial SSU rRNA
Rfam family: Archaeal small subunit ribosomal RNA
Source: RNAcentral
AACCUCCGCAAUGCACGCAAGUGCGACGGGGGAACCCCAAGUGCCACUCUUAACGGGGUGGCUUUUCAGAAGUGUAAAAAGCUUCUGGAAUAAGGGCUGGGCAAGACCGGUGCCAGCCGCCGCGGUAACACCGGCAGCUCAAGUGGUAGCCGCUUUUAUUGGGCCUAAAGCGUCCGUAGCCGGUCUGAUAAGUCUCUGGUGAAAUCCCACAGCUUAACUGUGGGAAUUGCUGGAGAUACUAUCAUGACUCGAGGUCGGGAGAGGCUGGAGGUACUCCCAGGGUAGGGGUGAAAUCCUGUAAUCCUGGGAGGACCACCUGUGGCGAAGGCGUCCAGCUGGAACGAACCUGACGGUGAGGGACGAAAGCCAGGGGCGCGAACCGG